CCUACGGGCGGCAGCAGUGAGGAAUAUUGGUCAAUGGGCGUAACCCUGAACCAGCCAAGUAGCGUGAAGGAUGACGGUUCUAUGGAUUGUAAACCUCUUUUAUGCGGGGAUAAACUGUGUGACGUGUCCUGUUUUGUAUGUACCUUAUGAAUAAGGAUCGGCUAAUUCCGUGCCAUCAGCCGCGGUAAUACGGAGGAUCCGGGCGUUAUCCGGAUUUAUUGGGUUUAAAGGGUGCGUAGGCGGCCCUUUAAGUCAGCGGUGAAAUUCUGUGGCUCAACCGUAGAACUGCCGGGGAAACUGGGGGGCUUGAGUGUGUCGGAGGUAGGCGGAAUGCGUGGUGUAGCGGUGAAAUGCUUAGAUAUCACGCAGAACUCCGAUUGCGAAGGCAGCCUGCCAUGCCAUUACUGACGCUGAUGCACGAAAGCGUGGGGAUCAAACAGGAUUAGAUACCCCUGUAGUC
This 460-nucleotide ribosomal RNA is filed under the name uncultured bacterium. RNAcentral's name for it is "partial 16S ribosomal RNA". It matches the Rfam family "Bacterial small subunit ribosomal RNA", at positions 338 to 795 of the family's 1533-position model. The record is from RNAcentral.